CAAGAGCUUAUUUCACUCCCUAACUA
This 26-nucleotide transfer RNA is filed under the name Opuntia phaeacantha. RNAcentral describes it as "partial tRNA-Leu". RNAcentral also lists the same sequence under 37 other names. The record is from RNAcentral. Lineage: Eukaryota; Viridiplantae; Streptophyta; Magnoliopsida; Caryophyllales; Cactaceae.